AGUGAACGCUGGCGGCAGGCCUACACAUGCACGUCGAGCGGCAGCGCGGGGGCAACCCUGGCGGCGAGCGGCGGACGGGUGAGGAAUUCGUCGGAAUCUGCCUUUUUGUGGGGGAUAACGUAGGGAAACUUACGCUAAUACCGCAUACGUCCUACGGGAGAAAGUGGGGGACCGCAAGGCCUCACGCAGAAAGAUGAGCCGACGACCGAUUAGCUAGUUGGUGGGGUAAAGGCCCACCAAGGCGACGAUCGGUAGCUGGUCUGAGAGGAUGAUCAGCCACACUGGGACUGAGACACGGCCCAGACUCCUACGGGAGGCAGCAGUGGGGAAUAUUGGACAAUGGGCGCAAGCCUGAUCCAGCCAUGCCGCGUGUGUGAAGAAGGCCUUCGGGUUGUAAAGCACUUUUGUCCGGAAAGAAAUCCCUGGAGCUAAUACCUUCGGGGGAUGACGGUACCGGAAGAAUAAGCACCGGCUAACUUCGUG
RNAcentral lists this ribosomal RNA (483 nucleotides) under uncultured bacterium. Its description in RNAcentral is "partial 16S ribosomal RNA". It matches the Rfam family "Bacterial small subunit ribosomal RNA", at positions 29 to 507 of the family's 1533-position model. The record is from RNAcentral.